GGACGUGUAGCUCAGUGGUAGAGCGAGGGAUUGCAGAUCCCUAGGUCGGGGUUUCGAAUACCCCCGGGUCCU
Molecule: transfer RNA, 72 nt
Organism: Ophiostoma piceae
Lineage: Eukaryota; Fungi; Ascomycota; Sordariomycetes; Ophiostomatales; Ophiostomataceae
Rfam family: tRNA
About the family: Transfer RNA (tRNA) molecules are approximately 80 nucleotides in length. Their secondary structure includes four short double-helical elements and three loops (D, anti-codon, and T loops).
Source: Rfam